AACGAACGCUGGCGGCAUGCCUAACACAUGCAAGUCGAACGAGACCUUCGGGUCUAGUGGCGCACGGGUGCGUAACGCGUGGGAACCUGCCCUUAGGUUCGGAAUAACUCCCCGAAAGGGGUGCUAAUACCGGAUAAUGUCUUCGGACCAAAGAUUUAUCGCCUUUGGAUGGGCCCGCGUUGGAUUAGCUAGUUGGUAGGGUAAAAGCCUACCAAGGCGACGAUCCAUAGCUGGUCUGAGAGGAAGAGCAGCCACACUGGGACUGAGACACGGCCCAGACUCCUACGGGAGGCAGCAGUGGGGAAUAUUGGACAAUGGGCGAAAGCCUGAUCCAGCUAUGCCGCGUGAGUGAUGAAGGCCUUAGGGUUGUAAAGCUCUUUUACCCGGGAUGAUAAUGACAGUACCGGGAGAAUAAGCUCCGGCUAACUCCGUG
Molecule: ribosomal RNA, 433 nt
Filed under: uncultured bacterium
Lineage: Bacteria
Description: partial 16S ribosomal RNA
Rfam family: Bacterial small subunit ribosomal RNA
Source: RNAcentral